Molecule: ribosomal RNA, 505 nt
Filed under: uncultured bacterium
Lineage: Bacteria
Description: partial 16S ribosomal RNA
Rfam family: Bacterial small subunit ribosomal RNA
Source: RNAcentral
GACGAACGCUGGCGGCGUGCCUAAUACAUGCAAGUAGAACGCACAGUUUAUACCGUAGCUUGCUACACCAUAGACUGUGAGUUGCGAACGGGCGAGUAACGCGUAGGUAACCUGCCUGGUAGCGGGGGAUAACUAUUGGAAACGAUAGCUAAUACCGCAUAAUAUUGAUUAUUGCAUGAUAAUUGAUUGAAAGAUGCUAUUGCAUCACUACCAGAUGGACCUGCGUUGUAUUAGCUAGUAGGUGAGGUAACGGCUCACCUAGGCGACGAUACAUAGCCGACCGGAGAGGGUGAUCGGCCACACUGGGACUGAGACACGGCCCAGACUCCUACGGGAGGAAGCAGUAGGGAAUCUUCGGCAAUGGACGAAAGUCUGACCGAGCAACGCCGCGUGAGUGAAGAAGGUUUUCGGAUCGUAAAGCUCUGUUGUAAGAGAAGAACGGGUGUGAGAGUGGAAAGUUCACACUGUGACGGUAUCUUACCAGAAAGGGACGGCUAACUACGUG